AUUUGGCUCUUUUUAUGUUUUUCUUAUCUAAUAGCUCUGGCUAGAACUUCCACUAUACUGUUGAAUAGCAGCAGUGAAAGUGGGUCUCCUUGUCUUGUGCCUUCUGAUUUUAAAGGGAAAUUCUUCAGUCUUUCACCAUUGAGUAUGAUAAUAGCUACGGGUUUUUCAUAAAUAAUCUUUAUCAUAUUGAGGAACUUUUCCUCUAUUUUUAGUCUUCUAAAAUAUUUUAUCAUAAAAGGAUGUUCAAUUUUGUCAAUGAAUUUUCUGCAUUAAUUGAGAUGAUCAUGUAGGGUUUUUUUCUUUCAUUCUAUUAAUAUGUUGUAUUAUAUCGAUGUUGUGUUCAACCACCCUUUUGUUUCUGAUAUAGACCCCACUUGCUUAUGGUGAAUCAUCCUUUUAAUAUGCUAUUGUAUUUGAUCCGCUAAUAUUUUGUUUUGAGGAUUUUUGCAUCUAUGUUCAUAAGGGAUACUGGCCUGAAAUUUUCUUUCAUGUGAUGUUCUUAUCUGACUUUGGAAUCAUGGUACUACUGGCUUCCCAGAGUAAGUUAUAAGGUGUUCUCUCUUAAAUUUUUUGUAAAGGUUUGAGGAUUGGUGUUAAUUCUUCUUUAAGUGUUUGGUAGAGGGGCGCCUGGCUGGCUCAGCUGGAGGAGCAACUUGAUCUUGGGGUUGUGGAUUUGAGCCCCACAUAGAGAUUACCAAAAAAAAAAAAGCUUAAAAAACAAUAAAUGUUUGAUAGUGUUUGCCAAUGAAGCCAUCUGGUUUAGGGCUUGUUUUUGUUGGGAUGCUUUUAAUUAGUGAUUUAAUCUCUUGUUAUAGGUCUGUUGAGAUUUUCUAUUUCUUCUUGAGUCAGUUAAGGUUAUUUGUAUUUCAAGGAAUUUGUCCAUUUCUUCUAGGUUAUCUAAUUUGUUGAUGUACAAUUAUUGAUAGUGUUGACAUAAAAUUAUUAAAAUGCCCUUUUAUAAUCCUUUCUAUCUCUGUAAGGUCAGUAGCUAUGUCUCCACUUCCAUUUCUGAUUUUCAUUAUGUGUAUCUUCUCUCCUUCUUUUCUUAGUGAAUCUAGCUAAAGUUUUUUCAAUUUUGUUGAACUUUUCAAAUAACCACUUUUGGUUUCACUGAUUUUCUCUAUUCUCUAUUUAUCUCUGCUCUAAUCUUUAUGCUUUCUUUCUGCUAGCUUUGGGUUUAGCUUGUUCUUCUUUUCUAAUUCCUUACUGUGUAAACUUAGGUAAUUGACUUGAGAUAUUCUUUUUUAACAUAAACAUUUAUAACUAUAAUUUUACCUCUGAACACUGCUUUCACUAUAUACCAUGAUUUUUGGUAUGUUGGUUUUAAUUUUCAUUCAUCACAAGGUAUUUUGUAAUUUCUGUUAUGAUUUAUUCUUUCAAGAAGAAAGCUUUAGGAAGCUUGCAUGUGGAUUCUUUCAGACUUCUUGUGUAUCUUUUUCCCUUAUGAUCUGGCUAUGUAUCCUUAGUACACCACUGUAAUAAAUCUUGGAGUACAACCGUAUGCCAAGUCCCAUUAGUUCUUCUAGGGACUCUCUGAAUGUUAGGGUGGUCUUGGAGCUUCCCCAUAGGUUGAUGAGGAUUAGAUUGCUUAAUACAUGUAAAGCAUCUAGCAUCUUGGCUCAUGGUAAAUUCUCAAAAUAAGAAUAGUGAUGUUCAGGGGCACCUGGGUGGCUCAGUUGGUUAAGCGGCCGACUUCGGCUCAGGUCAUGAUCUCGCAGUCCGUGAGUUCAAGCCCCGCGUCGGGCACUGUGCUGACAGCUCAGAGCCUGGAGCCUGUUUCAGAUUCUGUGUCUCCCUCUCUCUGACCCUCCCCCGUUCAUGCUCUGUCUCUCUCUGUCUCAAAAAUAAAUAAACAUUAAAAAAAAAAAAAAAGAAUAGUGAUGUUUAUAGUCACAAUGGGGAUGACCAGUACAGAGACAUGAACAGGAUAGGUGCUCAAGGUCAAUCAAUCCAAUUCCCAUCCUAUCCCUCCAUCUUCUCCCACUAUAUUCCCUCAUCUAAGUCUCUUAGCAAAUGCACAGCCCAAUAUCUUUAUAAUGGCAUCUCACUGCUGGCAAGUACCUCAAGUUUAGCUUCCUGUUUUACACAGCAUAAUAGUAAGGCCCAGAGAGGUAAACUGAAAUGUCCUGGGUCAUGUCAUGAGUUGGUGACAAAGUUGUAACAAGAACCCAAGUUUGCCCUUUAAGUCCCUCAUUGACUUCACUGACACUUGGUAUAUGUGAUACAGACUAGGAGUAAAAUAAUUAACCUGGGGCCAGGCUGUCAAGAACCCAGCUGCUGUGGAGGUAUUUCCUUCUCUUCCUAGAAAAAUAAGAAACCUUGAAAGCUAGGAAUUAAGAGAAGCCAUAAACAAGUUCAGCCCAAAAUCAAAUGAGACUACUAUUUGAUCUAAAGGCAGAGUGAAACAAUUUCCCCCCUGCAUCUCCAUUUCUACAGUACUGUUGUUGACUUCUGGGGGUGAGGUAGUGGGCAGGAAGCAGGAGGCACCGAGGGAGCAGUGAAUACCAUCAAGCAUUGGAACAAAGGGCAAACAAGAGGCAGAGAAUAGCCAGUACAGCUGCACUAAAUAAAGAACACCCCAAAAAGAAUCCCAAUAUAGAAACCACAGCAGGUGAACGGAACCCUCCAAUGGGUGCACGAUUGCUCAAAAUUCUGGGCCAUAUAUGGAACGAAAAGACAUGAGACCAGACUGGACCAGAGACCCUCUCGAGCGCUGUCUAGAGGUCUCAAACCACAGCCCACCACCCCUGCCCACCACGGAAUGGGCAAACGAGGUGUGCAAGAAAGGAGCACAAAAAAAAAUGUUGAAGGACAGCGGAAACAAUGCUCCUGCCAGGUCUCCGGGGUGAGAAGUCUCAGGAAUACGGACCCACGUGGCGGCUACGCUCAGCGAGCUCGUCGGUGGCAGUGAAGGAGGCAGCCCUUGUCCGCACGCCUUCCCCCAGCCCCACGCCCUUACUGACCAGCUCCGCAGACGAACUGACAGCCACACAGCACCUCUACGUGAAGCCCAGCCGACGGACGGACAGAGAGCGCCUCCGCGCGGAGGACUGCCCACACACCACCCUACAGACUCCGUCGCAGAGACUGCCAGGGCGGAAGUGCGUCACUGCCCCUCCCGCGCUUGGGCCCGCGCCCGCUCUAGCACGCCCGGAGGCCAUCUCUGCGUGUCCUUGGUCCUUCCAGGGCUCUGAGUUCACCUGUGUAACUCUCUGUCCCACCCUCCAGCGGAGCUGCGACCCUAUUUGGGAAUGACAGGUACUAAAGGUAUUUGGCGACCGCUCCGUGCAGGGAGACCACCGGAUGAUACACUCUGCCAGCACCAAAUACCUCAUGGGGGAUGGCUUGAGGACAGGGUCUCAACAAAACCAUGCUGGACAGACUGUCCUUGGUUAUACUGGGGCCCACGGGCCAGAGUCUGGAUGCUGGUUGCUUCCACUUCUGCUACAAUGUGUUGUUCAAGGCCGGCUACCUGAGCUUAUUUGGCUGUACGAAGAACCAGGAGCAGGACCUGCUACAGGCAGAGGAGUUAUUUGUCCAGUUCCGCAAGUUUGAUCUCUUGUUCCCCAGGUUUGUUUAUUCCUUGCUAGGGCCCUGGGAGUGGCUAGAAGUGGCCCGGCUCCAGUGGCUCUUCCACAGGAUGCUCUCUGUGAACCACCACCUGGAGAAGAAUGGCAUAAGCAACUGGAACUCCUACAUGCUUCAGUUUCUGAGAGAGCAGCAGGGGCCAUAUCUGUCUCAUUCAAAGUUGGUUAUAGCAGAAUUUCUGGCAGUAGGUGCCAAGUAAAUAUCUGUUGAAUGGAUAUAUGGGACUGUUCCAAGGAGGGAGGGAAUGAAAUGAAUCAAGGUAAGAAUGAGUGUAACAUGGUGCUGCCAUCCAUUAAAAAUUGGGGAACAAUGUUUAGCUUAUGCAUGUUGGCCCACAGACAAUUUCUGACUGCAGAUUCAGGCUGGGGAGAGUGGAUGAUUCUGAGUACUUGCUGUGGUUUCCCUAAGCAAUCAGAGAGGACUUCAUGGAGGCAGAGUGUGGACAUUUCCAGCUACCUGCAGAGAGGAACGGCACAAGGCAAAGGGAACUCAAGAGGUCAUGUGGAAAUCAGAGGAGAUAAAGUCCCUGUUUGCCAAUCAAUUAGGAAGUUAAAGAGUAACCCGAGGUCGCUAGAACUGGUUGAAUUGAGUCUGAACCUCACCUUAUUGCAACAAUGGCCUUAGAGUCAAUGGCAGAACUUUCUCCUUCCUGGGCCUGCUGGCAGGGACCUAGCCUGACACCUCACAGAAGGCCCCCAGUAAAUGGUCAGCUCACCUCACCCAAGCCAGGACAGCAGUGAGAGAAAGUUCCCACUAUACUCUGAGACUACACCCUUAUCAUGAAAUAAAGUGAUUGGUUUGAA
Leopardus geoffroyi (Geoffroy's cat) is the source of this 4391-nucleotide long non-coding RNA. RefSeq lists it as uncharacterized. The record is from RefSeq and is a predicted model, not a curated record. NCBI's taxonomy places the organism in Eukaryota, Metazoa, Chordata, Mammalia, Carnivora, Felidae. The transcript is spliced from 2 exons.